AUUGAACGCUGGCGGCAUGCCUUACACAUGCAAGUCGAACGGUAACGCGGGGUAACCUGGCGACGAGUGGCGAACGGGUGAGUAAUAUAUCGGAACGUGCCCAGUUGUGGGGGAUAACUGCUCGAAAGAGCAGCUAAUACCGCAUACGACCUGAGGGUGAAAGCGGGGGAUCGCAAGACCUCGCGCAAUUGGAGCGGCCGAUAUCAGAUUAGGGAGUUGGUGGGGUAAAGGCCUACCAAGCCUACGAUCUGUAGCUGGUCUGAGAGGACGACCAGCCACACUGGGACUGAGACACGGCCCAGACUCCUACGGGAGGCAGCAGUGGGGAAUUUUGGACAAUGGGGGCAACCCUGAUCCAGCCAUGCCGCGUGCGGGAAGAAGGCCUUCGGGUUGUAAACCGCUUUUGUCAGGGAAGAAAUCCUCUGGGAUAACACCUCGGAGGGAUGACGGUACCUGAAGAAUAAGCACCGGCUAACUACGUGCCAGCAGCCGCGGUAA
RNAcentral lists this ribosomal RNA (498 nucleotides) under uncultured bacterium. RNAcentral's name for it is "partial 16S ribosomal RNA". It matches the Rfam family "Bacterial small subunit ribosomal RNA", at positions 29 to 523 of the family's 1533-position model. The record is from RNAcentral.